RNAcentral lists this ribosomal RNA (575 nucleotides) under uncultured bacterium. Its description in RNAcentral is "bacterial SSU rRNA". It matches the Rfam family "Bacterial small subunit ribosomal RNA", at positions 341 to 916 of the family's 1533-position model. The record is from RNAcentral.
ACGGGAGGCAGCAGUGAGGAAUAUUGGACAAUGGACGAAAGUCUGAUCCAGCCAUGCCGCGUGCAGGAUGACGGCCCUAUGGGUUGUAAACUGCUUUUAUACAGGAAGAAACACUCCCACGUGUGGGGGCUUGACGGUACUGUACGAAUAAGGAUCGGCUAACUCCGUGCCAGCAGCCGCGGUAAUACGGAGGAUCCAAGCGUUAUCCGGAAUUAUUGGGUUUAAAGGGUCCGCAGGCGGUCUAUUAAGUCAGAGGUGAAAUCUUGCAGCUCAACUGUAAAAUUGCCUUUGAUACUGGUAGACUUGAGUCAUUGUGAAGUGGCUAGAAUGUGUGGUGUAGCGGUGAAAUGCAUAGAUAUCACACAGAAUACCAAUUGCGAAGGCAGAUCACUAACAAUGUACUGACGCUCAUGGACGAAAGCGUGGGGAGCGAACAGGAUUAGAUACCCUGGUAGUCCACGCCGUAAACGAUGGAUACUAACUGUUCGACCUUCGGGUUGAGUGGUUAAGCGAAAGUGAUAAGUAUCCCACCUGGGGAGUACGCUCGCAAGAGUGAAACUCAAAUGAAUUGACGG